RNAcentral lists this ribosomal RNA (433 nucleotides) under uncultured bacterium. RNAcentral describes it as "bacterial SSU rRNA". It matches the Rfam family "Bacterial small subunit ribosomal RNA", at positions 957 to 1391 of the family's 1533-position model. The record is from RNAcentral.
UAACGCGAAGAACCUUACCUGGGCUUGACAUGUGAGUGACCGCCGUGGAAACACGGUUUUCCUUCGGGACACUUUCACAGGUGGUGCAUGGCUGUCGUCAGCUCGUGUCGUGAGAUGUUGGGUUAAGUCCCGCAACGAGCGCAACCCCCGUUCCAUGUUGCCAGCAUUAGGUUGGGGACUCAUGGGAGACUGCCGGUGAUAAACCGGAGGAAGGUGGGGAUGACGUCAAGUCAUCAUGCCCCUUAUGUCCAGGGCUACACACGUGCUACAUUGGCGCAUACAAAGGGCAGCAAUACCGUGAGGUGGAGCGAAUCCCAUAAAGUGCGUCUCGGUUCGGAUUGGAGGCUGAAACUCGCCUCCAUGAAGGUGGAGUUGCUAGUAAUCGCGGAUCAGCAAUGCCGCGGUGAAUACGUUCCCGGGUCUUGUACACACA